GCAAAAAAAAAAAACACCGCAUUACUUUUUUCUCCUUUCUUUUGUUUUUUGUUUGAUCUCUAUUAUUCUCCGCUUCCUCCUUGAAUUUU
This 89-nucleotide non-coding RNA is filed under the name Platyophrya macrostoma. The record is from RNAcentral. Lineage: Eukaryota; Ciliophora; Colpodea; Cyrtolophosidida; Platyophryidae.